Molecule: ribosomal RNA, 497 nt
Filed under: uncultured bacterium
Lineage: Bacteria
Description: partial 16S ribosomal RNA
Rfam family: Bacterial small subunit ribosomal RNA
Source: RNAcentral
GAUGAACGCUGGCGGCGUGCCUAAUACAUGCAAGUCGAACGAACGGACGAGAAGUUUGCUUCUCUGAUGUUAUCGGCGGACGGGUAAGUAACACGUGGAUAACCUAUCUAUAAGACUGGGAUAACUUCGGGAAACCGGAGCUAAUACCGGAUAAUAUUUUGAACUGCAUGGUUCAAACGUUAAAGGCGGUCUUGCUGUCACUUAUAGAUGGUUCCGAGCUGCAUUAGCUAGUUGGUAAGGUAGUGGCUUACCAAGGCAACGGUGCAUAGCCGACCUGAGAGGGUGAUCGGCCACACUGGAACUGAGACACGGUCCAGACUCAGACGGGAAGCAGCGGUAGGGAAUGUUACGCAAUGGGCGAAAGCCUGACGGAGCAGCGCCGCGUGAGUGAUGAAGGUCUUCGGAUCGUAGAACUCUGUUAUUAGGGAAGGAGAGAAGGGUAAGUGACUGUGCACAUCUUGACGGUAGCGAAAGAGAAAGCCACGGCUAACUACGUG